UACGUAGGGACCGAGCGUUGUCCGGAGUUACUGGGCGUAAAGGGCGCGCAGGCGGCCGACCGCGUCGGGUGUGAAAGCCCUCCGCUCAACGGAGGAGAGUCGCUCGAAACGGGUCGGCCGGAGGCAGGGAGAGGUCGGUGGAAUUCCCGGUGUAGUGGUGAUAUGCGUAGAGAUCGGGAGGAACACCAGUGGCGAAGGCGGCCGACUGGACCUGUCCUGACGCUGAGGCGCGAAGGCGUGGGGAGCGAACGGG
RNAcentral lists this unclassified non-coding RNA (253 nucleotides) under uncultured Thermomicrobiales bacterium. RNAcentral describes it as "contains 16S-23S intergenic spacer region". It matches the Rfam family "Bacterial small subunit ribosomal RNA", at positions 524 to 776 of the family's 1533-position model. The record is from RNAcentral. Lineage: Bacteria; Pseudomonadati; Thermomicrobiota; Thermomicrobia; Thermomicrobiales.